Molecule: long non-coding RNA, 2532 nt
Organism: Bactrocera neohumeralis
Lineage: Eukaryota; Metazoa; Arthropoda; Insecta; Diptera; Tephritidae
Exons: 3
Source: RefSeq, a predicted model, not a curated record
UUAACAUAUAACACAUUAACGUGUUUGAUACCCAUUUGUUAGCAGUAAACAGCAUAUCUGUUACCUCGAUAUAUUAUUCCAUUUGUUGGCCAUUUUUUGCUUCUAAAGGUUAGGUUCCAGCUCUCAAGUAAAUGCUCAAGAAAUUAUUGGUAUUAUUUCUUUUGUGUGAGAUAGUAGUUAGCAAGAAAUUUGACAUUUCAUAUCGCACCGUGAAUGUUAAAAAGUAGAAGAAGAGUGUAAAGUAAUCAAACCACGGUAGAGGAGAUAUUUGAGCAAGAGCAAUUGGUGGUCAAGUGAAAAACUAAUCUAACAGAAUAGAAAUUUAAGCAAGAGUAAUUGGUAUACAAAAAAGCAAAGCGUUAAUCAACCAGAAAAGAUAUGUAUUUGAGCAAGAGCAAUUGGUAAGUUUCCCAUUAUGUGGUCAUUUUUAGUAUCCAUAAUGGAAGACGAGGAGUAGAUUUUAUAUAAUACUAUCCGACCCCGCAGUCAUUGUCCUGCGUGAAAUUAUGUGUUUAGAAAUGAAAAAGUUGAAUUUAUCAUUUCACUUUUUUUCAAUGUUUUGACGCUUGAUAAACAACCUUUUUUGGUUUCUGUUCCAGUGUACUAUAGAAAAGAUGGUUUUCCAACUCGUGAGCAGGACAAGUAUAUCUGGCCGAGGGAAAAAUAUAUCAUUUCCAAAUGUAUACCAUACACUAUGCGACUAUCCUUGUGUCUCAAAUGCAAUUUUCACUGGAAACUGAAUACGUUUGAACUGAAAUGACAAAUCGUUAGAACUCAGAGGAAUUCGUAGAAUCAAGCAUUCAGCCCCUUUGUAUUCGAUGGCUGCGUCACAAUCAGUCAGGUUCCAUUACACAGUUUCGGCACCUGAAGAUUGUGGAACAUAAUAACGACAGAUCCAACUUUGAGACGCAAAUGAAUUUAGAAAUUCCACGAUCGAUCAAUUUGUAUGAGCGCAAGUCUCCCGGAAUUUGACUUUGAAUCUUCCAGUUUAAGUCAACAACAUCGGCAUUUUUUGGCAGCUAACAUUGCGCGUGCACUUAAGGAAUUGUAGUUACGAUAAUUUGUCUAAUGUCCGAAUAUUCGCGAUGAGUUCAUCUUUGGUGAAUUGGUAAAGGGAAGAUGGAAUUGAUAUCAAACCACCGGAAGUAUCAACCGGAAUUUACCCAUUUCCAAUUCUUAGCGAAUACGAUGUAAAAUGUCUUCGGCAAUGUCAUUUUUGUUCGUAUUCCAUAAUUAGCGGCCUUUACACGGUCACAUAUGCGUGACAGCAUGUGCAAUUUUGGAAAGAAAAAGAAUGCAAAGAAAGUUUUUGUAAUGCUUUGGGCAAGAUAUUUCUAGUUCUUUUAACAAAUUUGUAUGCGAGCGUGUUGAUCUUUUCUUACGCCAAUCUUGCACCCAAAUUCGUUUUUCUUGCCACUUUUUGCAUUUUCUUCCUCUUCCUCCAUUUCUAAAAUUUCUUCAAUCAGAAGAGCUGCCACUAAUGCGCGUGCCACGUUUACUCGUUGAAAGCUGAACAAAAAUGAAGUUCACGCACAUGCAUGACCGUGUAAGCGAAAACGUCAAACUUUUGCAUCAUGCCAUGUUCGCGAGCAUGUGUGACCGUGUAAAGGCCGCUAUUGACGCUAAUUUGAUGGCUGAUCAUCGCGAAAAGUGUGCGAACUUCAUUCCAGUGAUUAUCAUGUUCCAGCAAUUGUAAUUCUAAUUGUAUGUAUAAUAUGAAGAUAUUUCCGAAUAGAGCAAGUUCUCGCAAACGGUUCACUGACGAAAGUUGAGAAAAAACUCGUAAAUGUUAAUUUUGUUGCUGGGGGUGUUAUCUUUGUCUGUACUGUAUUCUCUGUGUUGAAAUAGACUAUUUGGUCAUUCUCCAAAUUAACUGCGAGACGCACAACAGUCGGAAAACGUUCAUGAAUCGCAAAAGUAAAUAUUAUACAAAGCGCUUUAUUGCUGUUCACGUAUCGACCGUAUCGUUCAAGAUCAGUAACCGCCAUGUUACUUCCUUUGGUGACGUUUUUACACACGUAUUUUAUCGAUUACAAUUACCAAACUGCAAUACGCAACAUUGACAUGACUUUUGAAUGUGAAUUAGACAACGGUGGCGAAUAUGGUACGAUCCCUAUGUUGUCGACCUCGAUGUGUUGUUAACUUCGAUAUUCACGCCUCUAAAUUAAAUGCUAAAUGUUCUGCCAUUGUCUGGUGAGCGACGCUGAUACAUUGGAUAUCCAUCAUUUCUAGUUUGUGUUUCCGAAAUAAAAGCACCUGGAUAGUGUUUCGUACAUUUAUUGUCAGACAUACAAACCGAAGUGGUAUUGUGAUGUCCGUAAGGUACAUGAACCAUAUUGGUUUCGUAUAAUUCUGCUUCUAUCUCUGGAUCAGGAAUUUUCCGGAGAAAUGAUUUCAUCAAUUUGAUUUGGUGUAACCACCAUCCACCAUCCAAAGAAGAAUAUGUGCGUGCGGCAAACCUCUCUUUUGCCACUCAACAAAGUACAUCCAGCAUCUAACAGCACCACAUAUACGAUGCUUUAAGAUAAAUUU